RNAcentral lists this ribosomal RNA (575 nucleotides) under Escherichia coli. RNAcentral describes it as "partial 23S ribosomal RNA". It matches the Rfam family "Bacterial large subunit ribosomal RNA", at positions 952 to 1529 of the family's 2925-position model. Lineage: Bacteria; Pseudomonadati; Pseudomonadota; Gammaproteobacteria; Enterobacterales; Enterobacteriaceae. The record is from RNAcentral.
AACUGCGAAUACCGGAGAAUGUUAUCACGGGAGACACACGGCGGGUGCUAACGUCCGUCGUGAAGAGGGAAACAACCCAGACCGCCAGCUAAGGUCCCAAAGUCAUGGUUAAGUGGGAAACGAUGUGGGAAGGCCCAGACAGCCAGGAUGUUGGCUUAGAAGCAGCCAUCAUUUAAAGAAAGCGUAAUAGCUCACUGGUCGAGUCGGCCUGCGCGGAAGAUGUAACGGGGCUAAACCAUGCACCGAAGCUGCGGCAGCGACGCUGAUGCGUUGUUGGGUAGGGGAGCGUUCUGUAAGCCUGUGAAGGUGUGCUGUGAGGCAUGCUGGAGGUAUCAGAAGUGCGAAUGCUGACAUAAGUAACGAUAAAGCGGGUGAAAAGCCCGCUCGCCGGAAGACCAAGGGUUCCUGUCCAACGUUAAUCGGGGCAGGGUGAGUCGACCCCUAAGGCGAGGCCGAAAGGCGUAGUCGAUGGGAAACAGGUUAAUAUUCCUGUACUUGGUGUUACUGCGAAGGGGGGACGGAGAAGGCUAUGUUGGCCGGGCGACGGUUGUCCCGGUUUAAGCGUGUAGGCUGGU